UUAUGUGGCCAUGUGCAUAUUUUGGAAGGGGGUCUGUAACAUCUAUUUCUGUAGGACUGAAUGGACACAACGCAGCAGGACAGAGACAGACAGCUUUUCAGAAGUGUUUAAAGACGUCCAAAAAGCCUGUAGAAAUGCCACACUGAAAGCCAGGAAGGAUGUGCUCAGAAGCACUUGGAAGCUGAAAGCAUUUCUUUUACAGUCUAUUUCUUCCUCAAUUAGGAAAUCUCACCUGAUAAAAGGAGCAAGAAAUUACCCUGCUUAAUUACACAGAUAAGGGAGGAAAACAGAAUCAUUUAAUUCCCACAAGCAACCCUUGUCUUUGUCUCAGCCUGUUUUUCACGCCUGGAUUAUGCUAACACUAUUAAUCUUUGUCUGUGACUAACUCCCGGGUUUUGUGUUAGUGACCUGAUUCUGCACUAACAAGCUCCUCCCAGUUUGGUGAGGCUCCCCAUGUGAUCUCUUCUUCCCCCUAAAUAAAGUUGAAGAAUUUGGCUGGGAUCAGUGAGUGCUGCUGAGGUGGCGGGCGCGUGGAGCUCUUCCACCUCCCUGCAUCUGCAGCACCAACAACGCGCCUGUUCAGCACUAUCUGCCUCCGCUUUGAAGACCAAGGAAGGGACGAGACCGGCCAGAUCGCAAGGUCUGGAGCUACCUCCGUGGUGAGGCUACAGCACGGGCUCCCAGUUUGCCACCCCCUGACCACUCUCCCCUUCCGAAAGUAGCCCAGCGAGUGUUGGAAGAUGUGGCCGGAGGAGGUCAUUUUUCCAGGUUCCAGAUCUACAAUCAGUGAGGACAUCUCCUGAAAUCCAGUGUAACGAGGACAAAAACCCCAAAUCCCCUUCAGACAAGGCAAGUCUGAGAGCAAAUAUCGAAGAAGAGGGGAAAAUAACUCCCCUGCGUUAACCUGAGAGGUACUGUGUCAGCUGAUUUUGUUAAUGCCUGAUGUCAGCAAAACCAAGCUGCCCCUCAGUAAGAAAAUACACCUUUGAUUUCACUCUAUGGGGAGUAUUUGAGGGAAGAAGAAACCUCUCAGUGAAGAAACCCCCUAAGGUAUAAACUACACUUGUUGCAGUGCUUGUUUUCCUUUUGCGCCUGCAGAUAAGCCCUAUCACCACAAUGUUACUGGAAAAUUGAUUUUCUCUGGUUAUCUCUUCAAGAAAAAGAGCCUCAAACUGCAGCCAGCUGAGAGCAGCCUUCCCUGCCCCAUGACAGAGACACCAUCACGUACCUGACUUGCACAAGUUUGGAUAUAGAUGACCUGUACUGCAAACUCCGUGACACCCACUGCACUCCUUGGCUCCGUCAACCAGCAAAGCCUCUGAGCCCCAUCUAUGCCUGGGGAUCCUGAGGAGAAACCUGCCUCACAGAUGCCACAGGUGACAAGGGAACCAUAGUUCUUGCUUCUUCAGAAGUCCUGUUCCAGGGAGAACAACCACUGCAUCCCAAUGAGGCCCAAGUUCAAAGAAGUCCCUGUACCUGCACUUCUGGCCUCAACAGACUAUGAAAGCUUUGCUAACCUGAACACCACAAAAGACACUGAAACCACGCAGCUAGAGGGGUCCCUCUCAUCCACCAUUGCACUGGUAAUAGUGCUGGUUAUCAUCUUCUCUUUGUUAACAACAUCCCUAGUAACCUACUGCUUUCACAAGUGGAAACUGAGAGGUAAAAGACUCCAGAAGGCACAAGAGGAGUAUCAGAAAGACCAAGAAAAGAGCAUUUUUCAAAGCACGCCUGGACUAGUUUCAUAGAAAGACUCCAAAGGAUUCACCAUGAAAUGCUCUUGCAUUACCUGAACAUGGAAAUAAUAAAAGAAUGGCAACUAUGACAUUUCUAAGCAAACCUAUCCUUGUUUUAUCUCAUUUAUAAGAGUUGUUGGCAGUUUGGAGAUUUCCUACAGCUUUAUUAUACAUAUAUAUAUUUAUAUAGUCUCAUUUGUGCAAAGUAAACCCAAGGCAAUCACGUAUUUUUGAUCUCUGUUGUAUUACUAAACCAGUGCAUUUAAAUGUGUUGCUCACACUCCUUCAGAAACCCACUGGCCUGUGGAAGGCAGAAGGUCAGGUCUGGUUAUUGCAAAGCAAUACAGCAGCUCAGUAAAGCUCAGUGGAGUUGUGUUGUUUUGCACCCAUCUAAUCAUCUGGCUGAAGAUUGUGAAAUCCAAUCGGAGUCUUAAAAUAAAUCAGGUUCACAGACACUCAGCAGUAGCAGCCUGGUCCUGAAAGCUCCCAGCUGAAGAACCUUCCACAUCUUCAGCAGCAGCUCCAUGCAGAGGGCAUGCAGGACCCAGCCCUAUGUGCAUUUGCAGGUGGUAAGUCAGUAUUUCUUUCAGGUGAGGUUCAGUGACGUGGGGUGGUAGUGGCAUUCCAACUGCAAGUGGAUUAAAGACCUCCAGUGUUCCUGAAACCCAAUUUACCAACUUAACACCCUUUUUAAACUAGGCUUGUACUUCUUUUUAAACCAACCAUACGAUGGUGUGUUUUUAUUUUCACAGCCUGUAAUAUGUCAUGGGGAAAUGGCAGCUCUGUUGUGAGUAGCAUCUCUAAGUCACAUUUUCUAACAAAGUGAUGGAUGUAAUAUGAAUAUACUUGAUUGUUUUAAAAAGUAGGAACCAUGUAAAAUUACAAGAAGCCCUGCUCAAGUAGCUAGCUUGCCUGCACUUGCCAGUAAUGCUGUAUGUAUUUUUAAACAAGCUAUAAUACUGUGAUGCUGUAAACUUACUUCUGUAGGCAAAAAAUGUUCUAGUUAAAAAUGUCAAGAUGAAGGAUGUAAAUGUUCUUAAAGUGCUAUCAACUAAAGAGAUGAAUUUUCACAGAAGAUUCUAAAGGAUUCUGUUACAUGCUACAGAUCUAUUUUACAAACCUAUUUAUGGAUCAAACACACUAGUCUAUGUGAGAACAAACAGUACUAUUUUAUUACAAAAUAAAUGAAUAAAUAAGCAGUGAAUAUCCA
Long non-coding RNA from Pezoporus occidentalis (night parrot), 2946 nucleotides. RefSeq lists it as uncharacterized. The record is from RefSeq and is a predicted model, not a curated record. The transcript is spliced from 2 exons. Lineage: Eukaryota; Metazoa; Chordata; Aves; Psittaciformes; Psittacidae.